GUUUUAGUAGUUUAAAUAAAAAUACUGGUCUUGUAAACCAGAGAUAAGAUACCUUCUAAAACU
RNAcentral lists this transfer RNA (63 nucleotides) under Pseudorhynchus crassiceps. Its description in RNAcentral is "tRNA-Thr". It matches the Rfam family "tRNA". Rfam says of the family: Transfer RNA (tRNA) molecules are approximately 80 nucleotides in length. Their secondary structure includes four short double-helical elements and three loops (D, anti-codon, and T loops). The record is from RNAcentral. Lineage: Eukaryota; Metazoa; Arthropoda; Insecta; Orthoptera; Tettigoniidae.